RNAcentral lists this non-coding RNA (148 nucleotides) under Homo sapiens (human). Lineage: Eukaryota; Metazoa; Chordata; Mammalia; Primates; Hominidae. The record is from Rfam by way of RNAcentral.
GCCGGGCGUGGUGGCGUGUGCCUGUAAUCCCAGCUACUUGGGAGGCUGAGGUAGGAGAAUUGCUUGAAUCCGGGAGGCGGAGGUUGCUGUGAGCCGAGAUUGUGCCACUGCACUCCACCCUGGGUGACAGAGCAAGAUUCCAUCUCAA